This 260-nucleotide ribosomal RNA is filed under the name uncultured archaeon. Its description in RNAcentral is "partial 16S ribosomal RNA". It matches the Rfam family "Archaeal small subunit ribosomal RNA", at positions 748 to 1009 of the family's 1478-position model. The record is from RNAcentral.
UAGCCGUAAACGAUACUCGCUAGGUGUCGGCCACGGUGCGACCGUUGUCGGUGCCGUAGGGAAGCCGUGAAGCGAGCCACCUGGGAAGUACGGCCGCAAGGCUGAAACUUAAAGGAAUUGGCGGGGGAGCACUACAACGGGUGGAGCCUGCGGUUUAAUUGGACUCAACGCCGGAAACUCACCGGGGGCGACAGCAAUAUGAAGGCCAAGCUGAAGACUUUGCCGGAUUAGCUGAGAGGAGGUGCAUGGCGUAGUCGUGU